RNAcentral lists this ribosomal RNA (465 nucleotides) under uncultured bacterium. RNAcentral's name for it is "bacterial SSU rRNA". It matches the Rfam family "Bacterial small subunit ribosomal RNA", at positions 331 to 793 of the family's 1533-position model. The record is from RNAcentral.
CCAGACUCCUACGGGAGGCAGCAGUGAGGAAUAUUGGUCAAUGGCCGCAGGGCUGAACCAGCCAAGUCGCGUGAGGGAUGACGGUCCUAUGGAUUGUAAACCUCUUUUGUCAGGGAGCAAAGGGCGCCACGUGUGGCGUUUUGCGAGUACCUGAAGAAAAAGCAUCGGCUAACUCCGUGCCAGCAGCCGCGGUAAUACGGAGGUGGCAAGCGUUGUCCGGAUUUACUGGGUGUAAAGGGCGUGCAGCCGGAGAGACAAGUCAGAUGUGAAAUCCACGGGCUCAACCCGUGAACUGCAUUUGAAACUGUUUCCCUUGAGUGUCGGAGAGGUAAUCGGAAUUCCUUGUGUAGCGGUGAAAUGCGUAGAUAUAAGGAAGAACACCAGUGGCGAAGGCGGAUUACUGGACGAUAACUGACGGUGAGGCGCGAAAGCGUGGGGAGCAAACAGGAUUAGAUACCCCUGUAC